GAUGAACGCUGGCGGCGUGCCUAAUACAUGCAAGUCGAGCGAAUGGAUUAAGAGCUUGCUCUUAUGAAGUUAGCGGCGGACGGGUGAGUAACACGUGGGUAACCUGCCCAUAAGACUGGGAUAACUCCGGGAAACCGGGGCUAAUACCGGAUAAUAUUUUGAACUGCAUGGUUCAAAAUUGAAAGGCGGCUUCGGCUGUCACUUAUGGAUGGACCCGCGUCGCAUUAGCUAGUUGGUGAGGUAACGGCUCACCAAGGCAACGAUGCGUAGCCGACCUGAGAGGGUGAUCGGCCACACUGGGCCUGAGACACGGCCCAGACUCCUACGGGAGGCAGCAGUAGGGAAUCUUCCGCAAUGGACGAAAGUCUGACGGAGCAACACCGCGUGAGUGAUGAAGGCUUUCGGGUCGUAAAACUCUGUUGUUAGGGAAGAACAAGUGCUAGUUGAAUAAGCUGGCACCUUGACGGUACCUAACCAGAAAGCCACGGCUAACUACGUGCCAGCCGCCGCCGUAA
Molecule: ribosomal RNA, 515 nt
Filed under: uncultured bacterium
Lineage: Bacteria
Description: partial 16S ribosomal RNA
Rfam family: Bacterial small subunit ribosomal RNA
Source: RNAcentral